GACGAACGCUGGCGGCGUGCUUAACACAUGCAAGUCGAACGGAAAGGCCCUGCUUUUGUGGGGUGCUCGAGUGGCGAACGGGUGAGUAACACGUGAGUAACCUGCCCUUGACUUUGGGAUAACUUCAGGAAACUGGGGCUAAUACCGGAUAGGAGCUCCUGCUGCAUGGUGGGGGUUGGAAAGUUUCGUCGGUUGGGGAUGGACUCGCGGCUUAUCAGCUUGUUGGUGGGGUAGUGGCUUACCAAGGCUUUGACGGGUAGCCGGCCUGAGAGGGUGACCGGCCACAUUGGGACUGAGAUACGGCCCAGACUCCUACGGGAGGCAGCAGUGGGGAAUAUUGCACAAUGGGCGUAAGCCUGAUGCAGCAACGCCGCGUGCGGGAUGACGGCCUUCGGGUUGUAAACCGCUUUCGCCUGUGACGAAGCGUGAGUGACGGUAAUGGGUAAAGAAGCACCGGCUAACUACGUG
RNAcentral lists this ribosomal RNA (468 nucleotides) under uncultured bacterium. RNAcentral describes it as "partial 16S ribosomal RNA". It matches the Rfam family "Bacterial small subunit ribosomal RNA", at positions 28 to 507 of the family's 1533-position model. The record is from RNAcentral.